AUUGAACGCUGGCGGCAUGCUUUACACAUGCAAGUCGAACGGCAGCACGGGGGCAACCCUGGUGGCGAGUGGCGAACGGGUGAGUAACACAUCGGAACGUGUCCAGUUGUGGGGGAUAACCCAUCGAAAGGUGGGCUAAUACCGCAUGAGCUGGCAACAGGAAAGCGGGGGACCCGCAAGGGCCUUGUGCGAUUGGAGCGGCCGAUGUCCGAUUAGCUAGUUGGUGGGGAAAGCCUACCAAGGCUUCGAUCGGUAGCUGGUCUGAGAGGAUGAUCAGCCACACUGGGACUGAGACACGGCCCAGACUCCUACGGGAGGCAGCAGUGGGGAAUUUUGGACAAUGGGGGCAACCCUGAUCCAGCCAUGCCGCGUGAGUGAAGAAGGCCUGGUGUAA
This 394-nucleotide ribosomal RNA is filed under the name uncultured bacterium. RNAcentral's name for it is "bacterial SSU rRNA". It matches the Rfam family "Bacterial small subunit ribosomal RNA", at positions 29 to 428 of the family's 1533-position model. The record is from RNAcentral.